GACGAACGCUGGCGGCGUGCCUAAUACAUGCAAGUCGAACGCAGUGGGGACGGGUGAGCAACACGUGGGCAACCUCCCAUCAGAGGGGAUAACACUUGGAAACAGGUGCUAAACCGAGACUGAUGGAUGGACCCGCGUGGGAUUAGCUUGUUGGUGAUGUAACGGCUCACCAAGGCUACGAUGCAUAGCCGACCUGAGAGGGUGAUCGGCCACACUGGGACUGAGACACGGCCCAGACUCCUACGGGAGGCAGCAGUAGGGAAUCUUCGGCAAUGGGCGAAAGUCUGACCGAGCCACGCCGCGUGAGUGAAGAAGGUUUUCGGAUCGUAAAGCUCUGUUGUUAGAGAAGCGGUAUCUAACCAGAAAGCCACGGCUAACUACGUGCCAGCAGCCGCGGUAAUUC
Molecule: ribosomal RNA, 403 nt
Filed under: uncultured bacterium
Lineage: Bacteria
Description: partial 16S ribosomal RNA
Rfam family: Bacterial small subunit ribosomal RNA
Source: RNAcentral